RNAcentral lists this ribosomal RNA (253 nucleotides) under uncultured bacterium. RNAcentral describes it as "partial 16S ribosomal RNA". It matches the Rfam family "Bacterial small subunit ribosomal RNA", at positions 524 to 776 of the family's 1533-position model. The record is from RNAcentral.
UACGGAGGGGGCUAGCGUUGCCCGGAAUCACUGGGCGUAAAGCGCACGUAGGCGGCUUCUAAAGUCAGGGGUGAAAUCUUGCGGCUCAACCGCAGAAUUGCCCUGGAUACUGGGUAGCUUGAGUCUGGGAGAGGUGGGUGGAAUUCCGGGUGUAGAGGUGAAAUGCGUAGAUAUUCGGAAGAACACCAGUGGCGAAGGCGGCCGGCUGGGUCGGUACUGACGCUGAGGCGCGAGAGCGUGGGGAGCAAACAGG